AAGUAUUUCGGUAUGUAAAGCUCUAUCAGCAGGGAAGAUAAUGACGGUACC
RNAcentral lists this ribosomal RNA (51 nucleotides) under uncultured Lachnospiraceae bacterium. RNAcentral's name for it is "partial 16S ribosomal RNA". The record is from RNAcentral. Lineage: Bacteria; Bacillati; Bacillota; Clostridia; Lachnospirales; Lachnospiraceae.